RNAcentral lists this long non-coding RNA (865 nucleotides) under Marmota monax (woodchuck). Lineage: Eukaryota; Metazoa; Chordata; Mammalia; Rodentia; Sciuridae. The record is from RNAcentral.
GAGACAUUCAGCCUUUGCCAGACCAAGACCGCGUGAAGGCAGCCCGGUGCAUUCCUACCCUCCUUCACAUGUACCCAGAAAGAGGUCAAUGAAGGCAGGUUCCUACAUACCCAUCCUAAAUGCCCACCCUCUCUACAGCACAUGGUUUCAUUGUGAGACCCCAGUGGGUGUGGAAGGUGGCAUUGGAAUGUCCAGCGGUGUCCGCAGAGGUACAACACUGGAAUUCACUGGCCCCCGUGGUGUGUAGGCUAGGUCAUCACGAAGGAAUCUGGGGAGAAGAGGAGAAGCCAUCCAUAAACCAGAAGGAGCCCCUGGACAGUGGGAAGCCAGGUGUGAGUGGGUCCCUGCAGUCCCACAAAGGUUUCCAGGAGGGGUACAAUCAACCGUGUCCAAGGCCGAGGAUGAGCCAAGGCCCAGGAGAACUGAGAAAGACCCUGAUCCAGCCACACAGGGGCCUUGCUGACCUCAACAGCAGCAGUUUGAGAGAUGGUUAGAGUCGGCCAACUUUGCACAGGAACCAGAGGAGGGUGACUGGGGCCCCAAGCGGAGACACCCCCGAGGCGUUUGGUGUGGAAGAAGGGAGCAGCGGAGCCCCAGCUGGAGGGAAGGGGGCUGCGGAGCACAGGCCUGGUGCCGUGGACAGGGAAUGGCAGAAUGCAUGCACAUGAGGGGUGGCCCAGGAGGGAGGGGAACCAGAGGUGCAGGAGAGGGGAGACUGCUGGGCCUUGAGAGGUGAUGGAACCCGCGUGUGCGAGCUUUGGUCAGCCAAGAGCAUGGGCUGGUCGUCCACAGACACAGGCCUAGAGGGACAGAGGACAUGUGAGCAGGAGGAGGUUGUGGAAGUUCACCUGGGAUUACCAUCGGU